This is a non-coding RNA of Triticum urartu, 640 nucleotides long. The record is from RefSeq and is a predicted model, not a curated record. NCBI's taxonomy places the organism in Eukaryota, Viridiplantae, Streptophyta, Magnoliopsida, Poales, Poaceae.
CUACACGUCAACACUGCCGCUGCAGGGUCAGACCACACUCGAUUCGCCCGAUCCCUAACCCCCUCCAUCAAAUCCGUGGGCAUAGAUCGACUCCUCUUGAUCCCCUUGUCCAAUUCCCUCACUCCCCUCGCAGAACCGAGCUCGAGGAGAUCUGCCGCCAUGCCCGACGCCGGGGCAUGCUAGAAGGAGAGCCUCGACCUCGACCGAAGCAAUAGCCCGCCCUUGACUUCAACCGCUCGUCGCCAUUGCUACAUGACGCACCGGAGCGCCCUAGUGACAACACCGAACUCCACAGGGACAACCUCAUUCCCCAGCAGCUUCACCGAUCCCUUAUGGCCACCAUGAGCACCACCCGUCGUUGCCCGCACUUCUCACCGCAUCGAGAUGCCCUAGAGAACCUCGAAGAGCGCCAGCUCAGAACCGUGCAGCUCCAAAGCAUCCCGGAGCACCACCGCAGUCCCGGCGGCAGCUGUUCCCAUCGUCACCUCAAACGUGCGCUGGACCCUCCCAGCACCCCUCUUCACUAGAAGAUCACCGGAGCACUGCCGCUGCAGUUUUCCUCUGUUUAAGAUUGCUCAGAGCGUGACGAGUAGAAUUAUCAGGAUUGUGAGUGCGACGAUCUUCACCAAAUAUACCAGGC